GUACUAGUACAUUAAAUACUCUUUCCUUUGUUACAAAUGCCUUGCAGCCAUAAAUGGAUACAUGUAUGGAAAUCUGCCUGGAUUGGAUAUGUGCUUAGGAGACAACGUUUUGUGGCACGUUUUCAGUGUAGGAUCAGUGGAAGAUUUACACGGGAUAUAUUUUUCAGGAAAUACCUUCACUUCUUUAGGAGCAAGAAAGGACACAAUACCUGUGUUUCCUCAUACUUCUCAGACGCUUUUGAUGACACCUGAUUCUAUAGGAACUUUUGAUUUGGUUUGCAUAACAAUAAAACACAAUCUAGGAGGUAUGAAACAUAAAUAUCACGUGAGGCAAUGUGGGAAGCCAAACCCUGAUCAAACACAAUACCAGGAGGAGAAAAUUAUUUACAUUGCAGCCGAGGAAAUGGAAUGGGAUUAUUCUCCUAGCAGAAACUGGGAGAAUGAACUCCACCGCUUACAAAGAGAGAACCAAACGAGCAUGUUUGUGGAUAAAAGUGGAACACUUCUUGGGUCCAAAUACAAGAAAGUCUUAUAUCGUCAAUAUGAUGAUGACACGUUCACAAAUCAAA
RNAcentral lists this long non-coding RNA (569 nucleotides) under Rhinopithecus bieti (black snub-nosed monkey). RNAcentral describes it as "lncRNA (ENSRBIG00000045397.1)". The record is from RNAcentral. Lineage: Eukaryota; Metazoa; Chordata; Mammalia; Primates; Cercopithecidae.